UACGGAGGCAGCAGUGGGGAAUAUUGCACAAUGGGCGCAAGCCUGAUGCAGCCAUGCCGCGUGUAUGAAGAAGGCCUUCGGGUUGUAAAGUACUUUCAGUCGUGAGGAAGGUGUUAAGGUUAAUAACCUUAGCAAUUGACGUUAGCGACAGAAGAAGCACCGGCUAACUCCGUGCCAGCAGCCGCGGUAAUACGGAGGGUGCGAGCGUUAAUCGGAAUUACUGGGCGUAAAGGGCACGCAGGCGGUUAAUUAAGUUGGAUGUGAAAUCCCCGGGCUUAACCUGGGAAUGGCAUUCAAGACUGGUUAGCUAGAGUCUUGUAGAGGGGGUAGAAUUCCAUGUGUAGCGGUGAAAUGCGUAGAGAUGUGGAGGAAUACCGGUGGCGAAGGCGGCCCCUGGACAAAGACUGACGCUCAUGUGCGAAAGCGUGGGGAGCAAACAGGAUUAGAUACC
This 451-nucleotide ribosomal RNA is filed under the name uncultured bacterium. Its description in RNAcentral is "bacterial SSU rRNA". It matches the Rfam family "Bacterial small subunit ribosomal RNA", at positions 340 to 786 of the family's 1533-position model. The record is from RNAcentral.